Paramacrobiotus metropolitanus is the source of this 828-nucleotide long non-coding RNA. RefSeq lists it as uncharacterized. The transcript has 2 exons. NCBI's taxonomy places the organism in Eukaryota, Metazoa, Tardigrada, Eutardigrada, Parachela, Macrobiotidae. The record is from RefSeq and is a predicted model, not a curated record.
CUAAGUGCCUACUACAAGAAAACCGUGCAUCGCUGCUCGGACAGCGCGACAGCAACCGGUAAUGUUUGUCGUCACUCAUAUAUUUGUCGCUUCCAGCCAAAUUAUUUUGGGUAUUUAAAGCCACACGAAUUUUAGCUUUUCCCGUGUAUCUGUAGCAUCUAAAAGAUCAUUAACCGACUAGGUUGCAAAGGAAUUUCCUUCGAAUUAACUGCGCCGUAGUGUGCAUAGUUAGGUUUUCAAGCGACACUUCCUACUUUCUGGCAAUCAUGGUUCGAACGGAAAUUCAGCUGCUCCUGUUGGCCUUCGCGUUAUGCUAUAUCUGUCAUACCGCAGCGGCAGAUAAUACUGAUGGCGGGAAACUUAAGCGAGAGUUUUCCCUGAUGUACCUUGGAAAACCGCCGCAGUGUUCGAUGAAACGCUGUGGACCCGGAGCAAAUAAUGCCUGUGCGCUACCGUGUGUGUGCAGCAAUAUGGGAGACCCGCGAAGAAGAGGAAGAUGCUACGGUUCAUACAAAAAUUCGGAUAAUGGAGACGGCUCUUACUAAGCAUUUUCUGCAUUCCUAAGGAAAGGCUAGCAAACUAUAAUCGCCGCCAAAGAUAAUAUGUUCCGAAACAUGUAGAGCCUUUUAUUUUUUCCUUUCCAAUACAAAUGCAGACGAACUGGUUGCAGUUUUUGCUGUAAUGUUGUGACAAAAGUAUUACGAUUUUCCUAAUAUUUCAGAUAGUAUAUACUGCUUUGUGAGAUCACUGCUUGGGUUUCUGUGAUUAGAUGGUCCAUAGUUAAUUUAUGCAGUGCUUGUGUUUUUAGUAAAGAGGCUGUAGCAAUAA